This 378-nucleotide ribosomal RNA is filed under the name uncultured eukaryote. RNAcentral's name for it is "partial 18S ribosomal RNA". It matches the Rfam family "Eukaryotic small subunit ribosomal RNA", at positions 592 to 975 of the family's 1831-position model. The record is from RNAcentral.
CAAUAGCGUAUAUUUAAGUUGUUGCAGUUAAAAAGCUCGUAGUUGGAUUUCGGAUGGGACUUGCCGGUCCGUCGUUUCGAUGUGCACUGGCCAGUCCUAUCUUGUUGUCGGGGACUAGCUCCUGGGCUUCACUGUCCGGGACUAGGAGCUGACGAGGUUACUUUGAGUAAAUUAGAGUGUUCAAAGCAAGCCUACGCUCUGAAUACAUUAGCAUGGAAUAACACGAUAGGACUCUGGCUUAUCUUGUUGGUCUGUGAGACCAGAGUAAUGAUUAAGAGGGACAGUCGGGGGCAUUCGUAUUUCAUUGUCAGAGGUGAAAUUCUCGGAUUUAUGAAAGACGAACUUCUGCGAAAGCAUUUGUCAAGGAUGUUUUCAUUA